RNAcentral lists this ribosomal RNA (421 nucleotides) under uncultured bacterium. RNAcentral's name for it is "partial 16S ribosomal RNA". It matches the Rfam family "Bacterial small subunit ribosomal RNA", at positions 360 to 773 of the family's 1533-position model. The record is from RNAcentral.
AAUAUGGGACAAUGGGGGCAACCCUGAUCCAGCCAUUCCGCGUGUUUGAAGAAGGUCNNNGGAUUNUCACGCACGUAAAGUGGNGGGNAAGGGCUUUCGGCUAAUACCCGGAAGUUUUGACGUUACCAACUGAAUAAGAACCGGCUAACUCUGUGCCAGCAGCCGCGGUAAUACAGAGGGUGCAAGCGUUAAUCGGAAUUACUGGGCGUAAAGCGCGCGUAGGUGGUUCAGUAAGAUGGGUGUGAAAUCCCCGGGCUUAACCUGGGAACUGCUUUCAUAACUGCUGAGCUAGAGUACGGUAGAGGGUAGUGGAAUUUCCUGUGUAGCGGUGAAAUGCGUAGAUAUAGGAAGGAACACCAGUGGCGAAGGCGACUACCUGGACUGAUACUGACACUGAGGUGCGAAAGCGUGGGGAGCAAAC